CCAAAGUUUGGGAGUAUUUGACUUCCAGGGCCGACUCUAGGCACCAGCGUUCCAAGCAUGUGAUUGGGGCGGCACUUCUCAAGGGGCAGCAUU
Non-coding RNA from Chelonoidis abingdonii (Abingdon island giant tortoise), 93 nucleotides. NCBI's taxonomy places the organism in Eukaryota, Metazoa, Chordata, Testudines, Testudinidae. The record is from RefSeq and is a predicted model, not a curated record.